This 540-nucleotide ribosomal RNA is filed under the name uncultured bacterium. RNAcentral describes it as "bacterial SSU rRNA". It matches the Rfam family "Bacterial small subunit ribosomal RNA", at positions 8 to 559 of the family's 1533-position model. The record is from RNAcentral.
AGAGUUUGAUUCUGGCUCAGGAUGAACGCUGGCGGCGUGCUUAACACAUGCAAGUCGAACGGGCUCAUAUUGAAACCUAGUGAUGUAUGAGUUAGUGGCGGACGGGUGAGUAACGCGUGGAGAACCUGCCGUAUACUGGGGGAUAACACUUAGAAAUAGGUGCUAAUACCGCAUAAGCGCACAGCUUCGCAUGAAGCAGUGUGAAAAACUCCGGUGGUAUACGAUGGAUCCGCGUCUGAUUAGCUGGUUGGCGGGGUAACAGCCCACCAAGGCGACGAUCAGUAGCCGGCCUGAGAGGGUGAACGGCCACAUUGGGACUGAGACACGGCCCAAACUCCUACGGGAGGCAGCAGUGGGGAAUAUUGCACAAUGGGGGAAACCCUGAUGCAGCGACGCCGCGUGAGUGAAGAAGUAUUUCGGUAUGUAAAGCUCUAUCAGCAGGGAAGAAAAUGACGGUACCUGACUAAGAAGCCCCGGCUAACUACGUGCCAGCAGCCGCGGUAAUACGUAGGGGGCAAGCGAUAUCCGGAUUUACUGGGU